RNAcentral lists this ribosomal RNA (218 nucleotides) under uncultured bacterium. Its description in RNAcentral is "partial 16S ribosomal RNA". It matches the Rfam family "Bacterial small subunit ribosomal RNA", at positions 114 to 334 of the family's 1533-position model. The record is from RNAcentral.
CACGUGGGUUACCUACCUUCUGGUGAGGAAUACCAGCGAGAAAUCGUUGACAAUUCCGCAUAGGCUCUUUUUGAAGAGCAAAGCUUCGGUUCUUCCGAGGUGCCAUAAGAUGAGCCUGCGUCUGAUUAGCUAGUUGGUGGGGUAAAAGCCUACCAAGGCGAUGAUCGGUAGCUGGUCUGAGAGGAUGAGCAGCCACACUGGGAUUGAGAACGGCCCAG